Molecule: long non-coding RNA, 210 nt
Filed under: Nicotiana benthamiana
Lineage: Eukaryota; Viridiplantae; Streptophyta; Magnoliopsida; Solanales; Solanaceae
Description: long non-coding RNA (NBEN_LNC013048)
Source: RNAcentral
CUUAAUCUUUUAAUUUCCGCAUUUACUUUACUCCUGCAAUUUUAAUUCCGCAAUCUUUAUCAAUAUUCUCGUGCCGCACUAUUCACCCCCCCUCUAGUGACGGGCAUAAAUCCUAACAAUUGGUAUCAGAGCCUAACUCUCUGAAAGCCUUAACCGGUUGAGAGAAAGAUAUAUAUUUUUUGUUGAAAAUAUUAAACGCAGGAAUGAUGA